UCCCUGGUGGUCUAGUGAUUAAGACUUCAUGCUUCCACUACAGGGGGCACUGGUUCAAUCCCUGUUCAGGGAA
This 73-nucleotide transfer RNA is filed under the name Ovis aries (sheep). It matches the Rfam family "tRNA". Rfam says of the family: Transfer RNA (tRNA) molecules are approximately 80 nucleotides in length. Their secondary structure includes four short double-helical elements and three loops (D, anti-codon, and T loops). Further hydrogen bonds mediate the characteristic L-shaped molecular structure. tRNAs have two regions of fundamental functional importance: the anti-codon, which is responsible for specific mRNA codon recognition, and the 3' end, to which the tRNAs corresponding amino acid is attached (by aminoacyl-tRNA synthetases). tRNAs cope with the degeneracy of the genetic code in two manners: having more than one tRNA (with a specific anti-codon) for a particular amino acid; and 'wobble' base-pairing, i.e. permitting non-standard base-pairing at the 3rd anti-codon position. The record is from Rfam by way of RNAcentral. Lineage: Eukaryota; Metazoa; Chordata; Mammalia; Artiodactyla; Bovidae.